RNAcentral lists this ribosomal RNA (303 nucleotides) under Triticum aestivum (bread wheat). RNAcentral describes it as "partial small subunit ribosomal RNA". The record is from RNAcentral. Lineage: Eukaryota; Viridiplantae; Streptophyta; Magnoliopsida; Poales; Poaceae.
GUAUUCUGCGCCAAGAUGAGUAGUACACAACACAGCAAGAGUGCAAAUCAUAUAUUAAAGAACUAUGCGCCACCAGGAUGCCCCAUGCUUAUGCUUGUGAGAAAUUAUAUGAGGUUGCAGUUUGACAGGGAAGUAGAAGAGAAGUACGAGGAGAAGCGGACGAGAAUUGUAAUAUGGUUUCAUUAUUUACUAUACAAAUAUUUAGUUGUGUUUGACAUGGACCAUCAUGGGUGCAUUGCAAGGUUUGAUAACUGUUGCCAAUUCAGAAGGGGGAUUUGCCUCAUUGAAGAUACAGAUAAAUGA